UACGUAGGCAGCGAGCGUUGUUCGGAGUUACUGGGCGUAAAGGGUGCGUAGGCGGUUCUUUAAGUUUGGUGUGAAAUCUCCCGGCUCAACCGGGAGGGUGCGCCGAAUACUGAGGGACUAGAGUGCGGGAGAGGAAAGUGGAAUUCCUGGUGUAGCGGUGAAAUGCGUAGAGAUCGGGAGGAACACCAGAGGCGAAGGCGGCUAACUGGACAGUGACUGACACUCAACUGCGAAAGCGUGGGGAGCAAACAGG
This 253-nucleotide ribosomal RNA is filed under the name uncultured bacterium. Its description in RNAcentral is "partial 16S ribosomal RNA". It matches the Rfam family "Bacterial small subunit ribosomal RNA", at positions 524 to 776 of the family's 1533-position model. The record is from RNAcentral.